RNAcentral lists this ribosomal RNA (274 nucleotides) under uncultured bacterium. RNAcentral's name for it is "partial 16S ribosomal RNA". It matches the Rfam family "Bacterial small subunit ribosomal RNA", at positions 523 to 796 of the family's 1533-position model. The record is from RNAcentral.
AUACGAAGGGGGCAAGCGUUGUUCGGAAUAACUGGGCGUAAAGCGCACGUAGGCGGAAUGUUAAGUUAGAGGUGAAAUCCCAGGGCUCAACCCUGGAACGGCCUUUAAUACUGGCAAUCUAGAGACCGAGAGAGGUGAGUGGAAUUCCGAGUGUAGAGGUGAAAUUCGUAGAUAUUCGGAGGAACACCAGUGGCGAAGGCGGCUCACUGGCUCGGUACUGACGCUGAGGUGCGAAAGCGUGGGGAGCAAACAGGAUUAGAAACCCUAGUAGUCC